GGUGAACGCUGGCGGCGCGCUUAAUGCAUGCAAGUCGAGCGUGACCCGAUGGGGGCAACCUGUCGGGGAAAGCGGCGAACGGCUGAAUAACGCGUGAGCAACUUGCCCUCUGGUGGGGUACAGCCCCGAGAAAUCGAGGUUAAUCCCGCAUACGAUCCCUAGGCCCUGGUCUGGGGAUGAAAGGCCCCGAUAAUAUCGGGGUCGCCGGAGGAGAGGCUCGCGUCCUAUCAGGUAGUGGCGGGGUAACGGCCCACCAAGCCGAUGACGGGUAGCUGGUCUGAGAGGAUGGCCAGCCAGGAGGGGGACUGAGACACGGCCCCCACUCCUACGGGAGGCAGCAGC
Molecule: ribosomal RNA, 342 nt
Filed under: uncultured bacterium
Lineage: Bacteria
Description: bacterial SSU rRNA
Rfam family: Bacterial small subunit ribosomal RNA
Source: RNAcentral